UACGUAGGGUGCGAGCGUUAAUCGGAAUUACUGGGCGUAAAGCGUGCGCAGGCGGUUCGUUAAGUUCGAUGUGAAAGCCCCGGGCUCAACCUGGGAAUGGCAUUGGAAACUGGCGGACUCGAGUGUGGCAGAGGGGGGUGGAAUUCCGCGUGUAGCAGUGAAAUGCGUAGAGAUGCGGAGGAACACCGAUGGCGAAGGCAGCCCCCUGGGCUAACACUGACGCCUCAGGCACGAAAGCGUGGGGAGCAAACAGG
This 254-nucleotide ribosomal RNA is filed under the name uncultured bacterium. RNAcentral describes it as "partial 16S ribosomal RNA". It matches the Rfam family "Bacterial small subunit ribosomal RNA", at positions 524 to 776 of the family's 1533-position model. The record is from RNAcentral.